GGGGCUGUAUUAGAUCGACGGACUAUCGACCAAAGAGCGGCGAGCAAAUCUCAACAAAGGCAACUCCAACCUACGCCUACGCUACUGCCUAAACCCAGUAGCCGUCCCCUUUAGUUUGCUCGGUGGCUAAAGUGUGGGCGUGAUAGAGCCGAGAUAGGUCAAGGGAGCGGUUUGACUCCUUUUGAUCGAAAAUAAACCAAACCUAAAAUUGCCGGAUUUUUGUCUCGAUUUGACCGGCAAUUUGAAAAUCAAUCGAGACUAAGCUUGUAGAUGCUUUUUGGAAGUAGUCACGGACAGGGGUGCAAUUCCCCUCAGCUCCACCA
This 323-nucleotide transfer-messenger RNA is filed under the name Candidatus Berkelbacteria bacterium. It matches the Rfam family "transfer-messenger RNA". From Rfam's summary of the family: Bacterial tmRNA, also known as 10Sa RNA or SsrA, is named for its dual tRNA and mRNA-like properties. The record is from RNAcentral. Lineage: Bacteria; Candidatus Berkelbacteria.